This 4523-nucleotide long non-coding RNA is filed under the name Octopus vulgaris (common octopus). Lineage: Eukaryota; Metazoa; Mollusca; Cephalopoda; Octopoda; Octopodidae. The record is from RNAcentral.
CUUUCAAUGAAUUUCAUUUCUUAUUUAAACGUGGUAAUCCUCUUGAAAAUUUGUCACUUAUUCAUCGAUACUCAAAAACUGAACUUUCACCAACUGAAUACUCACCAUGUAGUGGCUUAAUGCUUUUUGCUGGAUUUUACCUCGAGAAAGGAACCCUGAGGAAGGAGGGCUGAAUUUCGAAUACUUCGUACAACUACUUUUCUGAAACGGCUGCAGGUUAGGAAAAAAAUUUUAAUCGCCUCUUUCAAUUUAGGUUUUUAUUUUUCAUGUUUAUAUUCGUAUUUCAUUGUUAUGUUUUUAUUGCAUUGUCCGGAAAGUUCGUUCCGAUUUUUAAAGGAAAGUAAAGGUCACUAAAUACUUGCCAUUACAUUUUUAAUUAACCAAAUCUGAACCAUUUCGUUGCAGAAUACUUCUCCAUCUUUCCUUUACCUUGAAGAUACCCUCCUCCCAGAAUUGGGGUGGUUUCAAGGCAAAGAAUUCAUCAAGGUAUCUUUUUACGUCAUCUAAGGAAUUGAAAUUUUACCAUUAAGACUAUUCUGCGGAGACCUGAAUAAGUGGAAACCUGAAGGAGCAAUAUCUGGGGAAUAGGGAGGGUGGGGCUAACACAUCUCAGCCGAGCUGCAGCAAUUUUUGUCUGGUUCCCAAAGCAUCAAGUGCCGAAAAUGAACUUUCUCAUCUUUUAUUUUAAAGGGUUACAGAAUUAACACAGGUUAUAGGAACAUAAACUUUCUUCCACGAAAAGAUAGCUUAAACUGUGCUCUAAAUGGAGGUGUAGUCAAAUCCUAUUUUAUGGACUCAAACAUGUUCUAAAAUAAGUCGAAAGAUAAGCUACUAUGAAUCGGCACGAACUUUCCGGACAACCCAAUAUUUCUAUAUUUUUAUCAUGAAACUCUUAACAUAAAUGUGUGUAUAUUCGUAUGGAAUAAUACCUCAUGUGCUACAUCUGAAUUUUCUUGUCUGAAUGCUUUAAGACAAAUAUCCGAAAUUUUUAUCGUAUACCACAUUUUAUUAAUACUUAGCUCAUAUACGGAGACAAAAAUGUUGUACUAUAUACUACAGGUUAUCUCCAUUAAAAUUCUCGUAUUAUAUAUAUAUAAUAUACACACUGGCGAAAAUAAAUUUAAGACUGAUGAUAAAAAUUCUAUUUCUUACAAAAUAUUCUGUUACUAGUCCUUGGCCGAUCUUUAUAUUGACCAGUCUCCGAGUAUAACUUCCACGCUUGCACGCAAGCCGGUUUACUUCACUUUAGUUGCUUGCUGAUGUUCGAAAAGGAAACUUUUUGCUGUAAUAUACGAUUUUUGCUCUCGUGACUGGACUAAGGCUACGUUGUUUUCCCAUUAUUAAUAAAUUGUAUAAUAACAUUAAAUUAUAACUUUAUAUGGUGCAUUUAGGCUCGUUGUGGGACCAUCCAUUUUGGCCAAAAAAAUUGCAUACAUAUUACAUGCUCUUAAACUAAUUUUGCCGGUAAAUUUGAAACGUUUAUAUUACGUUCUGAGUUCAAAUUCUGCCGAGGUCCACUUUGCCUUUCAUCCUUUUGGGGUCGAUGAAUUAAGUACCAGUUACGCACUGGGGUCGAUGUAAUCGACUUAAUCCGUUUGUCUGUCCUUGUUUGUCCCCUCUAUGUUUAGCCCCUUGUGGGCAGUAAAGAAAUAUAUAUUAAUUUAGCAUUAGAAUUCUUCAAGUUGUAUAAAAAUUGUUUGCAUCAUUCGAAAGAGAAAUAAAUUUUGCAUAAGGUGUAAAUGAUAUAAAUAAUUUUUAUGGUGUUAGUAACAAAAUAUUUUGUAAGAAAUAGAACUUUUAUCGUUGGUCUUAAAUAUAUUUUCGCCGGUGUAUAUAUCUCAGGUCAUCCCAUAAGUUCUGUCCGAAUUUUGGAUAGAGAAUCCAAGUGAUCAAAUGUUAUAUUUAAUUGAAAGUUAAUCAUAAAUGUACUUUCCCUGAUUAUCUAAGACUUACUUCCAUCCAUUUACAAGUUUUUUAAUCCCAUCAAUGUAAAACUCUUUUGGUUUCAAAGCGAAGAACUCUGAAAUGUCAGGUUCGAUCUCCUCCUGGCUUGCGAAAGUUGUGACCCCCUAAUAAUUCUGUAAACUAUGAAACAAAUGGUAUCCUGAAGGAGUAAGGUCGGGAGAAUAAGUUGGAUGAAGAAAUUUUUCCAAACCGACCUUUUCGAUCUUCUGUAAUGUGAUCUUUGCAGUGUGGGGUUGCGCAUUGUCCUGAUGAAAUAUCACUCGUUUUCGACUCACUAAAGCGGUUCUUUUUUCAUUCAAAGCUUGGUUCAAACGCUCUAAUUGCUGACAGUAGACUUGAGCAUUGAUUGUUGCAUUUUGUGGUAACAAUAUAAAGUGAAUUACGCCUUUGCAUUCGCACCAGAUAGAGUAGAACCUUUUCCCCAUGAAGUUCCCUUCUCGGUUGUGGUUGAGCAUUUUCCCUUUUACCAAGCCACUGUUUACGACGUUUAACAUUUCGAUAGAAAAUCCAUUUUUCGUCACAAGUCUAUCGAAAAAGGGUGAAAUGAGUUUGCGAGAAUGAAGAAAAGAGCAGAUGUCAACUUUGGAUUUGCGGUUGUUUUCGGACAAUACAUGAGGCACCUAUUUUCCAAGUUUGGGAACCUUUCCACGUUGUUGAAGAACUGUUGUAUGGUUUGAAGUAAGCUUUAUUGCCAAUUCUUCAACUGAUAAUGACGGAUUUUCUUCAAGUAAUGCCUCAAGGAGUUUAUCAUCAAACUCAACUGGACAUCCUAUUCGAUCUUUAUCUUCAAUUUUGCAAACGAUCUCCUGCAAGUUCUUUCAUUCAAACACUUUCCCAUAAACUGGGUGUAUGUUUCGAGUCACUUCGGCUGCAGAGUUACCUUUAUUGUACUCAUAAAGAAUUAUAUGUGCCUUAAAUGCUCCUUGGAUACUUCCAUGUUGAAAGGGGUUUAAUCAAAGCAAUUUUAGGGUGUCCACGAAGUCUGGGUACAUGGAAUAAAAUCAUAACAUAAACAAAUAUAAGAAAUAAUAAUUUUCGUUUUUUACUUUUCUUUCAAUUAAAUAAAAAAAUACUUUACUUUUCUAAAUUUAUUUGUUAUUUUUUCUACAGAUGAUCGAAUGAUAGCUCUGUCUAAAGAAGAAAGAAUCCCAGAUCGAAUGAUAGAUCUGUCUAAAAAAGAAAGAAUCGAGUUAGUAUUAUUAAGUGAAUCUUCGACACCCUUAUAGGUAACCUAUUUUUUUUACUGCCGUCGGGAAAUUGAUCAAGAAAUUUAAAGAAACAGGCAGUGUUUUGGAUAAACCCCGUUCCGGGUGACCAAAGACUUCAGAUGAAACGAAAGAGGCUGUCAUUGCUAAAGUUUCUACUAGCCCAAAGAAAUCACUUCGUCGGACAUCCACGGUGUUAGGUGUUCCAAAACCAACCAUCCACAAAAUGCUGGUUGAGGAAAAGUUUCAUCGAUACAACCUACAGAUAUUGCAUCACUUAAACGAAGACGACUCUGAUAGACGAAUGUAGACGUGCGAAUGGUUUUCAGAUAAAUUGGAUGAAAAUAUCAAUUUUACGAAAAACUAUGUGUUGUUCGGUGACAAAGCUACGUUUUAUGUAAAUUAUGAGUUCAACAGACAGAAUCUUCUAUACUGGUCUCGAGGUAAUCCACAUUGGAUGGAUCCAUCCAAACAGCAAGGCAGCAAAAAGGUGAUGGUGUGGUGUGGUUUGUGGAAAGCUCAUGUUCUAGGACCCUUCUUCAAUGAAAAUGUAACGGAUGAGACUUAUGUAAACAUAUUGAAAGACAAAUUAAUAUCUGAAAUUGAGCGCCUAGGUGAGGACCUUCCGAAUUGGUUUCAGCAGGAUGGAGCCCCUACCCAUUUUGCCACAACUGUUAGAGAUUGGCUAAAUGACACUUUUCCUCACUGGAUUGGAAGAAGGGCUCAUAUGGAAAGGUCCCCUCGUUCACCAGACCUUUCUCCCCUUGAUUUCUUUUUCUGGAGUAUGUUGAAAGAGAAAGAUUACAAUAAAGAUUACAGAUUUAAAACACAUAAGAGAACGCAUUACCAGUCAGUGUGCUGAAAUUGGUGGCAAUGUAGACUUAUUUAAUCAAGUUCACCUGAAUUUUGCAAGGUGCAUCAAGUUAUGCAUUGAAAAAUGAUGGAAAUCAUUUUGAAAAUAUUAUUUAUUAUCAUUAUAAUUAAAUAAAAUCGGUUUGUUUUAAAAGUAUGUGUUAAUCGUACACAAAUGCAUAAAAAUAAUUUUUAAUUGAAUUAGACAUUUGAAAAUACUAUUAAAUUUCAUUCAAAUCUUUAAAAAAAGGUAAAAUUGGACAGAACUGAUUGGAUGACUUGAUAUAUAUAAUCUAUGAUAUUCUAGUAGGUUUCAAGUUUAUAACACCUUGAUAUCUCACGUUAUCUUAUUUUAUAUGCCUAAGACGUUUAUUUUCUAUUCUGGUUUUUAUAUAUUUCUAUACAUUAUAUUUUAUCUUCCACCGGUGUGUGUAAUCGAUGGUGACAUGUGCGAUGAUUUUGCGACUAUCUUAUAUUUUACAGAGAAAUUGGAAGCCCCGA